AUGGCCCCUCUCGGGAAUCCCAAUUGCUGGGUGCCUCGGGGACCAGCAUGCUGCCAUGCUAGGUCAGUUGUGUCGUAAAGGGGAGGCCAAGUGCACGUAUGGGACAGGUGCAUUCAUCCUCCUCAACACUGGGGAUGGGAUCAUCAAAUCAGCCCAUGGACUACUCAGCACAAUUGCCUAUAAACUAGGACCAGAUGCUCCGACAAAUUAUGCACUGGAAGGGUCGAUUGCAAUUGCUGGUGCUGCAGUUCAGUGGCUGAGGGAUGGCCUUGGAAUCAUCCAGACUGCUGCGGAGAUCGAGGAGAUGGCGGAGUUGGUCGAGAACUCUGGAGGAGUGUACUUCGUUCCGGCAUUCAACGGGCUGUUUGCUCCUUGGUGGAGGGAUGACGCCAGGGGGGUGUGUGUGGGAAUCACAAGGUUCACAAACAAGGGGCACAUUGCCCGGGCGGUGCUGGAGAGUAUGUGUUUUCAGGUGAAAGAUGUGCUCGAGUCCAUGCACAAGGAUGCCGCGCAAGUGAAUUCGGUAGAUGGGAAGAAUAUUGAAGGGGAGUCCUUGCUUCGGGUUGAUGGUGGCGCCACUGUCAAUAAUCUUCUGAUGCAAAUUCAGGCCGAUUUACUGGGAGUUCCAGUCGUCAGACCUGCCGACAUCGAGACGACAGCCCUAGGAGCAGCAUUAGCCGCUGGAAUAGCUAUUGGACUCUGGACAAAAGACAAGAUAUUUGCAGGCGGACACAAAGGCAAGGAAUCGACCUUCCGCCCCAAAUUAGGCGAGGCACAGAGGAAGAAGAGGACCGAGUCUUGGACCAAGGCGGUGUCGAAAACUUUCGAUUUGGCGGACCUCUCCGUUUAGAUUUUGGUUUUGAUCCAUUUUCUUUAUUCAAGCUCUUUAACUUCUUUUGUACAAGAUGGCUUCUCAUAAUCUUGGUUCAGCAAUAAGUUGAUGUGUGUGUAAACAAUACUCAAUUCUUGGUGAUAAACUUUGGAGAGAUGAUUGUCUCCGGUG
RNAcentral lists this unclassified non-coding RNA (1003 nucleotides) under Hevea brasiliensis (rubber tree). Lineage: Eukaryota; Viridiplantae; Streptophyta; Magnoliopsida; Malpighiales; Euphorbiaceae. The record is from RNAcentral.